GAAUCGCGAUAAGUAAUGUGAAUUGCAGAUCUCCAGUGAAUCAUCGAAUCUUUGAACGCACCUUGCGCUCCUCGGUGUUCCGAGGAGCAUGCCUGUCUGAGCGUCAC
This 107-nucleotide ribosomal RNA is filed under the name Strobilomyces verruculosus. RNAcentral's name for it is "partial 5.8S rRNA". It matches the Rfam family "5.8S ribosomal RNA", at positions 50 to 154 of the family's 154-position model. From Rfam's summary of the family: 5.8S ribosomal RNA (5.8S rRNA) is a component of the large subunit of the eukaryotic ribosome. Lineage: Eukaryota; Fungi; Basidiomycota; Agaricomycetes; Boletales; Boletaceae. The record is from RNAcentral.